This 1260-nucleotide long non-coding RNA is filed under the name Numida meleagris (helmeted guineafowl). Its description in RNAcentral is "lncRNA (ENSNMEG00000003238.1)". Lineage: Eukaryota; Metazoa; Chordata; Aves; Galliformes; Numididae. The record is from RNAcentral.
AUGCAGCACUGUGCCCGUGGGCCUCCUGGAGGAACCAUGCACGGGCCUGGGCCGGCAGCGGAGGUAACGCUUGGAGACGCUUGGGGCUGCGUGCUAGCACAGCUUUGCAUGCCAGCUCGUUCCCCUUUUUGCUUCUCCUGGCCCACUUCCCUUCUGUCGCUCCGGCCACUGACCCACCACGGGUCUCGUGCCUGGGUGUACACACCAGCGCUCCUGGUUGCACGCAGCCGCAGCCUGGCACGGCACGGCACAGUGCGGCACGGCAUGGCACAGCACGGCAUAGCCUCGUGGGCAUCGGGUCCCUGUCCCCACUCCCAGCCGCAGGGAGCAUGGGGUGCCCAUAGCAUGGGAAUGAGGAAGGAGAGGGGUGAGCUGCAGCCCCUGUGCUCCCCUCAGGGAGGAAACCGGGCAAGAAAUCAGCGACAAGGUCACCCCGGGGCUGGGACAGGGGGGUGCUCCGGCCCCCAACUCACUGCCCCCGUUUCCAAAACCCCCGCCCUGGGGGACCCGGAGGCUUCCAACCCGCUCCCCUCCUGGGGCCCCGCAAACCGCCGUGUCCGGGCUCCGCGCAGCCCCCCCGGGCCGGGACCGCCCGUCCGCAAUGAGGACACCGGGAGACCCAUCCCCUGCCGCCCCCGGCCCGCGGCAGGUGGGGACACCAGCGGACGGGGCUCCGCCGUCCCUCUCAGCGGCGCCGACGCGGUUCCCCCACUCCCCCGACCCGGGGUGGUCCCACAGCUCCCCCAACUUUCCCCCCAGGAGAGCCCGCGGGGUUCACAGCUCCCGACCGAUCGCGGCGUCCUUCCCGUUCUUGUUCCUUGUCCCGGUGUCCUCCAGCCCCGCACCUUUAACCCCUCCCGGCUCCGCUCACCGGCUCCAGCGUCCGGCGUCCCGGCCGCUCCGCCGUGCCGUGCCGUGCCGUGCCGUGCCGUGCCGUGCCGUGCCGUGCCGUGCCGUGCCGUGCCGUGCCGUGCCGUGCCGUGCCGUGCCGUGCCGUGCCGUGCCGUGCCGUGCCGUGCCGUGCCGUGCCGGCGAGCCCCGAGCCCGCGGCACCGCGCGCGCCUGCCCGGCCCCUCCCCGAGGUGCGGCCGCUGCCCGGGGAGCGCAACCGGGGCCGGCCGGGACCUGCCCCGCCGCACCGAGCACCCGCAGCACGGGGGCGGGGGAACGGAUGGAGAGGAGCGCGGACCGUCCCCCAACGGGAGGGUCGAGCGCCGGGUGGGAGCGAGCCCAGGGCCCACCCGAGCACGGGCGCAAUGA